CAUUUUUAACAAAGACUAACCUCAAACCGUAAUCAUUCUACCAAAGACUGGCCUCCCUUGUUUCCCCUUCCUCUCUUUUUUCUCUCAUCCUCUCACACCGUGCUAUCUCACAAACCUAGAACUAGAUCGUGCAAAGUCACUCAAAGACAACUAAGAGCUUCAUCAUUUCUCUCUUUCAACCGCGAAUCUAGUCAAGCCUACCUUAUUCAUCAUCCAAUUUGGAAUCUCAAUCCUCGAAACCCUAAUCCUAGAUGAGAAAGGGCGAGAACCUAGUCAUUCCCCUCCUUUGCUCGUUCAAAUCGACACAUGCAACUACAGAUCUAUGAGAUCUUUGAUAUCACCAUGACAGUUCUUAGUCCAAAGGUCUAUCGCAGUGACCAAUGGAUUUUGGUUUUAACUGGUGGGCCAUUUGGCUUCAACGGCGAAUUCAUUCAUCAUUUCGAAUAGGUGGUUCCAUAGCAGGCGGCAUCGAUCAGUGAUAGCAGUACACCCUCUUCUCAGCUGACUUGGUGAAGCCCACUGAAUAUCGGGGUCUUGUGUCUUUUGUUCCUAAUGUAUAGUGUUUUGAGGUAUAGCCAGGGCCAUGUUGCCGGCACCAUCAUUACUCUUUUGUAUCCAUCAGAGGUUCCGUAGACAUAGUGUGAGUUAUAUUUUUAGUUGGGUAAAAGUCAAACCUGAAAAGUUCUACUUGUAACACAUGUUUCCACUUCUAAACUAUGAAUAUGUAAUGUAUUUUGAGAAUUGCAAAUGAAGUAACUAGUGAUAAUGAAAUUGGUGUUAUUCAUGAAA
Long non-coding RNA from Nicotiana attenuata, 789 nucleotides. RefSeq lists it as uncharacterized. The record is from RefSeq and is a predicted model, not a curated record. The transcript has 2 exons. Lineage: Eukaryota; Viridiplantae; Streptophyta; Magnoliopsida; Solanales; Solanaceae.